This is an RNA transcript of Belonocnema kinseyi, 2893 nucleotides long. It is a transcript of the gene named glucose 1,6-bisphosphate synthase, with no coding region annotated. The record is from RefSeq and is a predicted model, not a curated record. NCBI's taxonomy places the organism in Eukaryota, Metazoa, Arthropoda, Insecta, Hymenoptera, Cynipidae. The transcript has 12 exons.
UAGGUUAUGUUCGACAUUGAAGUUCGUCAAAAGUCAGACUGCGUGAAACAAACCGCUCCGCUUCACAUUUUGGUCAAUUUUUUCCCAUAAACACAGAAUUGAAUAAAAAAAUUGACUCAAAAAGAAAUGUGAUAUUGAUCGUUAAAAAUAGCUAUUCAAUAUGAAUUGAUUAUGUGCAACAACAUUGAAGUAUAGGAGAAUUUACCCAUCAUAUAUUUCACUUUUACUGAAACUAUAAUCGGAAGAUGGCCCCCAUGAGUCAUGUGAAUACAGGCUACCCUGAGCUCGAUGAAAAAAUUUUAGAAUGGUUCAAAUGGAACAAGGACACUAAAGCUGAUGCAGAGAUACAAACCCUAAUAAGAAAUGGAGAAACAAAAACUUUAUCCGAGUUAUUCCUGAAGCGACUCGAAUUUGGAACUGCGGGAAUUCGAGGUCGGAUGGGUCCAGGUUUCAAUCAAAUGAAUGAUUUAGUAAUCAUUCAAACUAGCCAGGGUCUUGCGAAAUAUUUAUUAGCGACUUUAAGCGAUGUAGAAAAUAAAGGAGUAAUUUUGGGGUAUGAUGGAAGGUACAACAGUAAAAGAUUUGCAGAGUUGACGACCGCAAUCUUCAUGAAUCUGAAAAUAAAAGUCUACAUGUACUCGAAAGUUUGCCCAACGCCUUUCAUUCCAUAUGGAGUUUUAAAAUACAAAUGCGCAGCCGGUGUUAUGUUUACUGCGUCACAUAAUCCAAAAGAAGACAACGGCUACAAAGUCUACUGGGAAAAUGGGGCCCAAAUUAUUCCCCCACACGACAAAGGAAUCCAAAAGUGCAUCCUGGAAAGUCUUGAGCCUCUAAAUUCCUCUUGGAACACGACACGACUUUAUCAGAGUUCUCUUUUCGUAGACCCCUUGGAUGAAGUCGUGAAGUCUUAUUUUGAGGAUCUCAAAGACGGCGUUCUGUAUCCGGAGACUAAUAAGAACUCCAUUUUAAAAUUUACGUACACUGCCAUGCACGGAGUAGGAUUGACUUACAUGACUACUGCCUUUGAAACUGCAAAUUUUAAGCCUUUCAUUGUCGUUGAGGAACAAAAGGAUCCAGACCCCGAAUUUCCUACAGUAAAAUUUCCCAAUCCAGAAGAAGGAAAAAGUGCUUUGAAUCUGAGCAUCGAGACUGCGAAUAGAAACGCUUCUACAAUUAUUUUAGCGAACGAUCCCGACGCAGAUAGACUCGCGUGCGCUGUUAAAGGCAAAAACAACGAGUGGAAAAUUUUUUCUGGAAAUGAACUCGGUGCCCUCUUAGGAUGGUGGAUGUUACAUUCUUUUCGAGUCAGGUAUCCUGGAAAUAACAUAGCUGAUGCCUGCAUGAUGGCUUCAACAGUGUCGAGUAAAAUUCUCCAUUCAAUGGCUAAAAAAGAAGGGUUUCAAUUCGAAGAAACUCUGACAGGAUUUAAGUGGAUGGCAAACAAAGGUAUCGAAUUGAUGAGAGAAGGAAAACACGUUCUCUUUGCCUACGAAGAAGCCAUUGGUUUCAUGUGUGGUUCGAAAGUCCUCGACAAGGAUGGCAUCAGUGCAGGAAGUCGACUUGCUGAAAUGGCUGCUUAUCUAGAAACCUUGGGCCUUUCUCUCGAGGAUAAAUUAAAAGAAAUAUACGCAGAGUAUGGACACCAUAUCAGCGAAAAUUCUUAUUGGAUUUGCCACGAGCAGGAGACUAUCAAAAAUAUUUUCGAGCGACUCAGGAACUACAAUGGAAAUUCGAAAGAGUAUCCAUCCAGUAUUCUUGGAGGAAAAUAUCCAAUAAUUGGUGUAAGAGAUCUAACGACUGGUUAUGAUAACACAAAGCCUGGCAAUAAGGCAGUUUUGCCCACCUCAAAAUCCUGUCAGAUGAUUACAUUCACUUUUAAAAAUGGCCUCGUUACAACAAUCAGAACGAGCGGUACGGAACCUAAAAUUAAAUACUACAGUGAACUCUGCGGCUCUCCAGACCAAAAAGAUUUAAGUGUCUUGAAAAAUACUUUGAAAGAGAUGGUCAGUGCUAUAGAAUCGGAAUUUCUUCAACCGGAAGUUAAUUGCCUUAUACCUCGUAGUGGAUAAGAAUAGCUUGAGGCAACAAAUCCUCUGUUAUAGAAGUUUUUAUUCAAGAAUUUCGCUUACAUUCUAUUUCUUAAAAGAGAUUCUUUGUUAUCGUUAUCUCUUUUCAAUUGAGAAUCUAAUUCAUUGAAAAUGUUUGUUGAAUCAAGUUAUCUACUACCAAAUUCGCUCUAUCAUUCCGUUUUUUACACGAAUUGAUUAUUUUUCUAUAAAUUGUUGUAUAUUCGUAAGUCCAGGAAACUACUAACGGGAUUUUAAUGGAUUGAAAACAAAACUGACUCGAUGAAGAAUAUAAGAAGAUUUGAAACGUGAAUUACAAAACGCAAUAGCAAAAGUCAUCCCGUAUUCUUCGAGGAAAAUGUCCUGUAGUUAAGAGAUCCAACUUUUGGAUUUAAUAAAAUCAUUCCUGGGAGUAAUUCACUUUUUCUUUCGAAAUGCAUACAAAUGAUUAUCUUAAAUUUAAAAAUUACGAUUCUCCAGAGUCCGGAACAAGCGAACAUCUUGCAAACUACUUUCAAAAUGAUACUAUAAAAUCAGAUAUCUUCAACUUGCAAGUGAACUAUUUUUUACGUCAGUGAAUAACAAUUUUAAACUUAAAGAGAAUGUAUGCCAAAAUGUCAUUUCAUUUACUGAAAGAUAAUCUUUGUUGUCAUUAGUUUCCUACAGCUGUGAAUGUAAUUGAUUGCAUUUUUUUGCUCAAUGUAGAUAUUUACUAAAAACAGAUUGUUAUUGAUUUUUUUACACAAAUUUAUGUUUAUAUAGAAAUCGUUGCAUACUUGUAAGCAGCACUAUGACAAAAUGUUGAAAUAAAAAAAAAUGUAAUGUUA